GACGGUCCUUAAAUGUUCCACUUAAAAAACUAUAAAACCCCACAUGGUGAGAAACAUCAUUAUAUUACAUAUUAUUUACAUACUUUUACACUUCUAUUCCAAGCCUUUACUAUAUGAUGGGCUGCUCUUAACUUGCAGAGUGUUUCAUUGUAGGAAUGCAGACCACUUUGAGAUUUUUGUGCAUUAUUAUUAUUGUUUUUUGCCUGUAAUUUCACAACAUGAAAGUUUGGUAUUCCUGCAAGAGUUUAUACUCACCAAAUACCUGGCAAUACUUGACAAAUCAAGUGACUUUACAGUAUGUGAUCUACAUCAUAUAAUAGUGAGUUGUUUUAUAUCUUUGUGCUUUUUUCUUUGUGUCUUUCUAAGUUUUGUCAUCAGCCAUUUCUUUUUAUAUUUAGUCUUUUUGUUCUGCUCUGUGUGUAAUCAUGGGGGCUGGGAGGUCACAGGGUAAUAUUAAUCAGUGGUUCCUUGGUCUUAAGUCUAAUCUGUUCAAAGGCUUGCUGAGGUGAAACAUGCCAUUCUCUCUGCUGUAAUGGAGCUAAUCAAUGUCUCGUGACAGAUCAUUAAAAGGCUUUUCAAACGCUAAAACACCCUGGUUGAUCUCUCUACUUUGUAAAAAUUCACUCUAUCACACAUGAUGCAUGUGUGAAUAUGUGUUUGUGCUGCUAGCCUAUCAGGACGCUUAUCUCCUGUAUUUGAUCAGCGCUCUUGACCAUUGUGCUCCCAAUCUUGCUGUUUGUUUUUUCUUUUUUUUGCGUAGUAUGUUUUUGGGACGUCAGACAUUGCGUCAUGUGGAGUUGUGUGAGCAAACUGUGCACAACCGCUAAUACCUCCCCACAGACAACAUCUAGAGCCCCUCGCAGCUCUUUAUUGCAAAAACACGCAGGAAUGAGUUUGAAAAUGUCUCUGUUAGUUUUGUAAGAUACAGCUAGAUCUCUGUAGGUUUGUACUUGCUGAUUUGAGAGUCACGUGAUCUCCUUUAGUGUCACAGGAAAGCACUUUAUUGCAAGCAUGUGUGUGGAUAAUUUCUCACAACUUGAAUUUGGUUCACUAUAAUGAACUUGUGAAAGCUGGAUGCGGUUCCACUUGUAAAUGUUGCUUUUGAGAUUGUCUGCGAAUGUGUUUCAAGAUGUUAGUGCACUCCAUGUGGCGUCAAGAUGAACGUCGUGUGCACCUGUGAAUAAAUAUCUAUAUUCAUCUAAAAUAUUUAAAGAAAGUUAUGUAUUUAAGUUAUAUUUGUAUGUUAAUAUCUGUAUGUCACCAAAGACUAUUUAUCUCAUUUUUCCUGCUCUUUACACACAGUAGGAGAGAAAGUCUUAACUGUAGUUCAAAUGUUACUGUUUGACAAUGUCCUUCAUCCUGUAAAAUAAAGACCUAUACUGUAG
Amphiprion ocellaris (clown anemonefish) is the source of this 1385-nucleotide long non-coding RNA. NCBI's taxonomy places the organism in Eukaryota, Metazoa, Chordata, Actinopteri, Pomacentridae. The record is from Ensembl.